AACGCGAAGAACCUUACCUGGGCUCGAAAUGCAGUGGACCGGGGUGGAAACAUCCCUUCCCCUUAAAAGGCUGCUGCAUAGGUGCUGCAUGGCUGUCGUCAGCUCGUGUCGUGAGAUGUUGGGUUAAGUCCCGCAACGAGCGCAACCCUUAUCCCUAGUUGCCAUCGGGUCAAGCCGGGCACUCUAGUGAAACUGCCUGGGAUAACCAGGAGGAAGGUGGGGAUGACGUCAAGUCCUCAUGGCCUUUAUGUCCAGGGCUACACACGUGCUACAAUGGUCGGUACAAACCGUCGCAAACCCGUGAGGGGGAGCUAAUCGGAAAAAGCCGACCUCAGUUCGGAUUGGAGUCUGCAACUCGACUCCAUGAAGCUGGAAUCGCUAGUAAUCGCGGAUCAGAACGCCGCGGUGAAUACGUUCCCGGGCCUUGUA
Molecule: ribosomal RNA, 429 nt
Filed under: uncultured Acidobacterium sp.
Lineage: Bacteria; Pseudomonadati; Acidobacteriota; Terriglobia; Terriglobales; Acidobacteriaceae
Description: bacterial SSU rRNA
Rfam family: Bacterial small subunit ribosomal RNA
Source: RNAcentral